RNAcentral lists this ribosomal RNA (301 nucleotides) under uncultured bacterium. RNAcentral describes it as "partial 16S ribosomal RNA". It matches the Rfam family "Bacterial small subunit ribosomal RNA", at positions 509 to 809 of the family's 1533-position model. The record is from RNAcentral.
CAGCCGCCGCGGUAAUGCGUAGGUGGCAAGCGUUGUCCGGAAUUAUUGGGCGUAAAGCGCGCGCAGGCGGAUAGGUCAGUCUGUCUUAAAAGUUCGGGGCUUAACCCCGUGAUGGGAUGGAAACUGCCAAUCUAGAGUAUCGGAGAGGAAAGUGGAAUUCCUAGUGUAGCGGUGAAAUGCGUAGAUAUUAGGAAGAACACCAGUGGCGAAGGCGACUUUCUGGACGAAAACUGACGCUGAGGCGCGAAAGCCAGGGGAGCGAACGGGAUUAGAUACCCGGGUAGUCCCUGUCUCUUAUACA